Molecule: ribosomal RNA, 229 nt
Filed under: uncultured bacterium
Lineage: Bacteria
Description: partial 16S ribosomal RNA
Rfam family: Bacterial small subunit ribosomal RNA
Source: RNAcentral
CGGGGUGAGUAAUGUAUGGGGAUCUGCCUGAUGGCGGGGGGUAACUACUGGAAACGGUAGCUAAUACCGCAUAAUGUCUACGGACCAAAGCGGGGGACCUCCGGGCCUCGCGCCAUCAGAUGAACCCAUAUGGGAUUAGCUAGUAGGUGGGGUAACGGCUCACCUAGGCGGCGAUCCCUAGCUGGUCUGAGAGGAUGACCAGCCACACUGGAACUGAGACACGGUCCAG